This 72-nucleotide transfer RNA is filed under the name Akkermansia sp. RNAcentral describes it as "tRNA-Arg". It matches the Rfam family "tRNA". From Rfam's summary of the family: Transfer RNA (tRNA) molecules are approximately 80 nucleotides in length. RNAcentral also lists the same sequence under 1 other name. Lineage: Bacteria; Pseudomonadati; Verrucomicrobiota; Verrucomicrobiia; Verrucomicrobiales; Akkermansiaceae. The record is from RNAcentral.
GGCCCCGUAGUUCAAUGGAUAGAACGGCCCUCUCCUAAAGGGCAGAUAUGGGUUCGAUUCCCGUCGGGGCUG